This 506-nucleotide ribosomal RNA is filed under the name uncultured bacterium. RNAcentral's name for it is "bacterial SSU rRNA". It matches the Rfam family "Bacterial small subunit ribosomal RNA", at positions 501 to 1009 of the family's 1533-position model. The record is from RNAcentral.
CUACGUGCCAGCAGCCGCGGUAAUACGGAAGGUCCAGGCGUUAUCCGGAUUUAUUGGGUUUAAAGGGAGCGUAGGCGGAUUGUUAAGUCAGCGGUUAAAGGGUGUGGCUCAACCGUACAUUGCCGUUGAAACUGGCGAUCUUGAGUGCAGACAGGGAUGCCGGAAUUCGUGGUGUAGCGGUGAAAUGCUUAGAUAUCACGAAGAACUCCGAUCGCGAAGGCAGGUGUCCGGGCUGCAACUGACGCUGAGGCUCGAAAGUGUGGGUAUCAAACAGGAUUAGAUACCCUGGUAGUCCACACAGUAAACGAUGUAUACUCGCGGUUUGCGAUAGAUUGUAAGCCGCCAAGCGAAAGCAUUAAGUAUACCACCUGGGGAGUACGCCGGCAACGGUGAAACUCAAAGGAAUUGACGGGGGCCCGCACAAGCGGAGGAACAUGUGGUUUAAUUCGAUGAUACGCGAGGAACCUUACCCGGGCUUGAACUAACGGUGACGAAUCUAGAGAUAG